UCUCCGUAGGUGAACCUGCGGAGGGAUCAUUACUGAGUGAGGGUCUCCGGGCCCGACCUCCAACCCUUUGUGAACACAACUUGUUGCUUCGGGGGCGACCCUGCCGUCCGCGGCUGAGCGCCCCCGGGGUCAAUCAAACACUGCAUUCUCUGCGUCGGAGUAUUAGUAAAUCUAAUCAAAACUUUCAACAACGGAUCUCUUGGUUCUGGCAUCGAUGAAGAACGCAGC
Molecule: unclassified non-coding RNA, 228 nt
Filed under: uncultured fungus
Lineage: Eukaryota; Fungi
Description: sequence contains ITS1, 5.8S rRNA gene
Rfam family: 5.8S ribosomal RNA (bases 180-228)
Source: RNAcentral